GCAAAACACGCACUCUCGGUCCGUUUUGCUUAUGAACCCUAGCCUUGCGCCCACAGCUUUAUGAACCCGUUUGACACACCUGAAUCCCUUACAUUGCAACACCCUACCUGUUGUUCUUCCAUUGAAGUGGACAAGGUGGACUUCACAACUCCAACUUCCCUACUCAACCUAACAUUUCGUGAAGAAAGAGAUUGAGCUCAUUUCACAUAAACGAGGCCUAGCUAGCCUCUUCUCCUUCCAAUCAACCCCACGACGUUGAGGAACUUCCCAGCUCGAACUUCCAAGUUCGUGAACAAAUUAGUUUGCAUUAAGGAGUGGUAGUUUGUCAACAAGGACAUUGGAGUCACUGCAAAGAAACCAAGGAAGAUAUUCGAACAACAGCUGAUACCUACUUCACUGGGCUGCAAACGGCUAUCUACACAUUGUUGUGGUUUCUGUGGCUGCAAUUUACAAGUUCUGUAUUGGACAAUUCACACUUUGUUGGUUAACCCACGAGAAAACUGAUAGUAUUUGAAGCUUCCAUUACCGCAACCAUCUA
Molecule: long non-coding RNA, 538 nt
Organism: Glycine soja
Lineage: Eukaryota; Viridiplantae; Streptophyta; Magnoliopsida; Fabales; Fabaceae
Exons: 4
Source: RefSeq, a predicted model, not a curated record